Molecule: ribosomal RNA, 423 nt
Filed under: uncultured bacterium
Lineage: Bacteria
Description: partial 16S ribosomal RNA
Rfam family: Bacterial small subunit ribosomal RNA
Source: RNAcentral
AAUUUUCGGCAAUGGGGGCAACCCUGACCGAGCGAUGCCGCGUGAGUGAAGAAGGUCUUCGGAUCGUAAAACUCUGUUGGUAGGGACGAACAAGCAUCGUUCGAAUAGGGUGGUACCUGGACGGUACCUAACCAGAAAGCCACGGCAAACUACUGGGCGUAAGCCGCGGUAAUACGUAGGUGGCAAGCUUUAUCCGGAAUUAUUGUGCGAAAAGCGCGCGCAGGCGGUUUCUUAAGUCUGAUGUGAAAGCCCACGGCUCAACCGUGGAGGGUCAUUGGAAACUGGGAAGCUUGAGUGCAGAAGAGGAGAGUGGAAUUCCAUGUGUAGCGGUGAAAUGCGUAGAGAUAUGGAGGAACACCAGUGGCGAAGGCGACUCUCUGGUCUGAAACUGACGCUGAGGCGCGAAAGCGUGGGGAGCGAACA